RNAcentral lists this ribosomal RNA (810 nucleotides) under Prevotella melaninogenica. RNAcentral's name for it is "bacterial SSU rRNA". It matches the Rfam family "Bacterial small subunit ribosomal RNA", at positions 49 to 853 of the family's 1533-position model. Lineage: Bacteria; Pseudomonadati; Bacteroidota; Bacteroidia; Bacteroidales; Prevotellaceae. The record is from RNAcentral.
CUACCAUGCAGUCGAGGGGAAACGGCAUUGAGUGCUUGCACUCUUUGGACGUCGACCGGCGCACGGGUGAGUAACGCGUAUCCAACCUUCCCAUUACUGUGGGAUAACCUGCCGAAAGGCAGACUAAUACCGCAUAGUCUUCGAUGACGGCAUCAGAUUUGAAGUAAAGAUUUAUCGGUAAUGGAUGGGGAUGCGUCUGAUUAGCUUGUUGGCGGGGUAACGGCCCACCAAGGCAACGAUCAGUAGGGGUUCUGAGAGGAAGGUCCCCCACAUUGGAACUGAGACACGGUCCAAACUCCUACGGGAGGCAGCAGUGAGGAAUAUUGGUCAAUGGACGGAAGUCUGAACCAGCCAAGUAGCGUGCAGGAUGACGGCCCUAUGGGUUGUAAACUGCUUUUGUAUGGGGAUAAAGUUAGGGACGUGUCCCUAUUUGCAGGUACCAUACGAAUAAGGACCGGCUAAUUCCGUGCCAGCAGCCGGGUAAUACGGAAGGUCCAGGCGUUAUCCGGAUUUAUUGGGUUUAAAGGGAGCGUAGGCUGGAGAUUAAGUGUGUUGUGAAAUGUAGACGCUCAACGUCUGAAUUGCAGCGCAUACUGGUUUCCUUGAGUACGCACAACGUUGGCGGAAUUCGUCGUGUAGCGGUGAAAUGCUUAGAUAUGACGAAGAACUCCGAUUGCGAAGGCAGCUGACGGGAGCGCAACUGACGCUUAAGCUCGAAGGUGCGGGUAUCAAACAGGAUUAGAUACCCUGGUAGUCCGCACAGUAAACGAUGGAUGCCCGCUGUUGGUACCUGGUAUCAGCGGCUAAGCG